CAGCAGCCACGGUAAUACGUAGGUGGCGAGCGUUGUCCGGAAUUAUUGGGCGUAAAGGGAGCGCAGGCGGACAUAUAAGUCCAUCUUAAAAGUGCGGGGCUCAACCCCGUGAGGGGAUGGAAACUGUAUGCCUUGAGUGCAGGGGAGGAAAGCGGAAUUCCCAGUGUAGCGGUGAAAUGCGUAGAUAUUGGGAGGAACACCAGUGGCGAAAGCGGCUCUCUGGCUUGUAACUGACGCUGAGGCUCGAAAGCGUGGGGCGCAAACAGGAUUAGAUACCCGGGUAGUCCCUGUCUCUUAUACA
Molecule: ribosomal RNA, 301 nt
Filed under: uncultured bacterium
Lineage: Bacteria
Description: partial 16S ribosomal RNA
Rfam family: Bacterial small subunit ribosomal RNA
Source: RNAcentral